Molecule: ribosomal RNA, 392 nt
Filed under: uncultured bacterium
Lineage: Bacteria
Description: bacterial SSU rRNA
Rfam family: Bacterial small subunit ribosomal RNA
Source: RNAcentral
CCAGGCUUGAACUGCGAGUGACCACGCCCGAAAGGGCGCUUCCGCAAGGACACUCGUAGAGGUGCUGCAUGGCUGUCGUCAGCUCGUGUCGUGAGAUGUUGGGUUAAGUCCCGCAACGAGCGCAACCCUUGUCCUCUGUUGCCAUCACGUUAUGGUGGGCACUCUGAGGAGACUGCCGGUGAUAAACCGGAGGAAGGUGGGGAUGACGUCAAGUCAGCAUGGCCUUUAUGUCUGGGGCUACACACGUGCUACAAUGGCCGGUAUAAAGCAUCGCAAACUCGCGAGGGGGAGCUAAUCACAGAAAGCCGGUCUCAGUUCGGAUUGUAGGCUGCAACUCGCCUGCAUGAAGUCGGAAUCGCUAGUAAUCGCGGAUCAGCAUGCCGCGGUGAAUA